RNAcentral lists this ribosomal RNA (321 nucleotides) under uncultured eukaryote. RNAcentral describes it as "partial 18S ribosomal RNA". It matches the Rfam family "Eukaryotic small subunit ribosomal RNA", at positions 1470 to 1796 of the family's 1831-position model. The record is from RNAcentral.
CCCUUAGAUGUCCUGGGCCGCACGCGCGCUACACUGACAUGUUCAACAAGCCUCCUAGUUCGACAGGAUUUGGGAAAUCUUUGAACGCAUGUCGUGAUAGGGAUUGAUCAUUGCAAUUAUUGAUCUUGAACGAGGAAUUCCUAGUAAACGCGAGUCAUCAGCUCGCAUUGAUUACGUCCCUGCCCUUUGUACACACCGCCCGUCGCACCUACCGAUUGAAUGUUUCGGUGAAGAUUCCGGAUAGGACUUUUUUGAUUUAUUUCAAUUUUGUCUUAAAAGCUAUCUAAACCUCAACAUUUAGAGGAAGGUGAAGUCGUAACA